RNAcentral lists this ribosomal RNA (614 nucleotides) under uncultured fungus. RNAcentral's name for it is "eukaryotic LSU rRNA". It matches the Rfam family "Eukaryotic large subunit ribosomal RNA", at positions 32 to 670 of the family's 3401-position model. Lineage: Eukaryota; Fungi. The record is from RNAcentral.
GAUUGCAUAUCAAUAAGCGGAGGAAAAGAAACCAACAGGGAUUGCCCCAGUAACGGCGAGUGAAGCGGCAACAGCUCAAAUUUGAAAUCUGGCCCCUCCGGGUCCGAGUUGUAAUUUGUAGAGGAUGCUUUUGGUGAGGUGCCGCCCGAGUUCCCUGGAACGGGACGCCACAGAGGGUGAGAGCCCCGUCUGGCUGGCCACCGAGCCUCUGUAAAGCUCCUUCGACGAGUCGAGUAGUUUGGGAAUGCUGCUCAAAAUGGGAGGUAUAUGUCUUCUAAAGCUAAAUAUUGGCCAGAGACCGAUAGCGCACAAGUAGAGUGAUCGAAAGAUGAAAAGCACCUUGAAAAGAGGGUUAAACAGUACGUGAAAUUGUUGAAAGGGAAGCGCUUGUGACCAGACUUGGGCGCGGCGGAUCAUCCGGGGUUCUCUCCGGUGCACUUCGCCGCGUUCAGGCCAGCAUCAGUUCGUCGCGGGGGAAAAAGGCUUCGGGAACGUGGCUCCUCCGGGAGUGUUAUAGCCCGUUGCAUAAUACCCUGCGGUGGACUGAGGACCGCGCAUCUGCAAGGAUGCUGGCGUAAUGGUCACCAGCGACCCGUCUUGAAACACGGACCAAU